Molecule: long non-coding RNA, 608 nt
Organism: Pezoporus occidentalis (night parrot)
Lineage: Eukaryota; Metazoa; Chordata; Aves; Psittaciformes; Psittacidae
Exons: 4
Source: RefSeq, a predicted model, not a curated record
GCUUUGCUAUUAAUUUUUCAGAUUUUCUGGUCUUUUACAAGUUAGCAAACUGUACUGCAACACUUGUAUUUCAGAUUUUCCUGACUGGAUUGAAAAGAACCUGGAACCGACCUCAGAGGCAGCUGGAGUUAAGUGAAGUCAAUGGAACUGCUGCCAAGGAGAGGGUUGCGAGUGCAGCCAGCAUGGGAAAGGAUACAACCUCUAUGGAAACGUUUCCUCCUCUGUGCCUGCUGCAAGUGGCACACAAUGGAUCGUCAUUAUUCAACAGAGACUCUAAGUGCCAUGAAAAAGAAAUAAUUAAACUACAACUAUUUCAGUAGGUAAGUUUGGUUUUAUGAUAGCUGACACGGUACAUGGCCUGGGAGUUUCGCACAAAUACUUUAGGAGGAGGAAGUGCUGUUUAACUUCCGUUGAAAGAGAGAAGAAAUGCACACCUGCAUACCCAGGAUUCUCCAACUCCACAGCUGGGAGCUCCAGGACCAUGGCUUGUGCAUUUCAAAGAAAGAAAACUAAAAUCCUGCUGUUUCUACUGUUAUUUUUCCCAUCUUGCCAGACUUUCAUAUGACAGUCUGUGCUUGGGGACUCAAAACAAAAAGAUGAGAUUAAUU